GUCCAGGGAUGGGAAUCGAACCCACAGUGUUCCGCCUGCAGACUUGGAUCUUCGGGUCCGGUCUUAAGGACGAAGCCCUGACCAUCCUCGCGUCGACAAAGUUACGGAUCUACCGCCACUUUGUUCAGGUUGGGCUCGGUGGAGUGGAGGACCCGCUCAUCGCCUGGAGGAGAACACUCGCGCGCCGAGGAUGCCUCCGCUCAUCCUCUAUUUAAUAACUUUUGAACAUAUUUUAAUAUUCCUAAUUAUUAUUAUAUUAUUUUACUAUUGAAACUCUCUUUGAGUUUAAAUAUUGACAAGAUGUUAAAAUCAAUAUUAAAAUAAAAACAUAAAGCUUCCAGGGAAAAGUUUCUUGGGGGAAACAAAAUAAAAGAAACUUUUCCCUGGAAGCUUUAUGUUUUUAUUUUAAUAUUAAUUCAAGGGAUUAUUUUAUUGAAUUGACAAGAUGUCAAUAAAAGUUGUUUUAAUUGUCAAUUGUCGCAGUGUUCCGCUUACAGGGCAAAUGCCAUGUCCACUAGGCUACCCUGGA
Molecule: non-coding RNA, 529 nt
Organism: Cordylochernes scorpioides
Lineage: Eukaryota; Metazoa; Arthropoda; Arachnida; Pseudoscorpiones; Chernetidae
Source: the annotation of a GenBank genome assembly